UACGGAGGGUGCAAGCGUUAUCCGGAUUCACUGGGUUUAAAGGGUGCGUAGGAGGGCAGGUAAGUCAGUGGUGAAAUCCCCGAGCUUAACUUGGGAACUGCCGUUGAUACUAUCUGUCUUGAAUAUUGUGGAGGUGAGCGGAAUAUGUCAUGUAGCGGUGAAAUGCUUAGAUAUGACAUAGAACACCAAUUGCGAAGGCAGCUCGCUACACAUAUAUUGAUUCUGAGGCACGAAAGCGUGGGGAUCAAACAGG
This 253-nucleotide ribosomal RNA is filed under the name uncultured bacterium. RNAcentral describes it as "partial 16S ribosomal RNA". It matches the Rfam family "Bacterial small subunit ribosomal RNA", at positions 524 to 776 of the family's 1533-position model. The record is from RNAcentral.